Molecule: ribosomal RNA, 253 nt
Filed under: uncultured bacterium
Lineage: Bacteria
Description: partial 16S ribosomal RNA
Rfam family: Bacterial small subunit ribosomal RNA
Source: RNAcentral
UACGUAGGGUGCGAGCGUUGCCCGGAUUUAUUGGGCGUAAAGGGCGCGUAGGCGGCCACGCACGUCCGUUGUGAAAUCGCCCGGCUCAACUGGGCGGGGUCAGCGGAUACGGCGUGGCUAGAGCAAGCUAGGGGGCAAUGGAAUUCCCGGUGUAGUGGUGGAAUGCGUAGAUAUCGGGAGGAACACCAGUGGCGAAGGCGGCAUCCUGGACCAAUUCUGACACUGAGGAGCGAAAGCCAGGGGAGCAAACGGG